AGUAACGCGUGGGCAACCUGCCUUAUACAGGGGGAUAACAGCUGGAAACAGUUGCUAAUACCGCAUAAGCGCACAGUGUCGCAUGGCACAGUGUGAAAAACUAAGGUGGUAUAAGAUGGGCCCGCGUCUGAUUAGCUAGUUGGGAGGGUAACGGCCUGCCAAGGCAACGAUCAGUAGCCGGCCUGAGAGGGCGGACGGCCACAUUGGGACUGAGACACGGCCCAGACUCCUACGGAAGGCAGCAG
Molecule: ribosomal RNA, 245 nt
Filed under: uncultured bacterium
Lineage: Bacteria
Description: partial 16S ribosomal RNA
Rfam family: Bacterial small subunit ribosomal RNA
Source: RNAcentral